RNAcentral lists this ribosomal RNA (304 nucleotides) under Klebsiella pneumoniae. Its description in RNAcentral is "partial 23S ribosomal RNA". It matches the Rfam family "Bacterial large subunit ribosomal RNA", at positions 1338 to 1644 of the family's 2925-position model. The record is from RNAcentral. Lineage: Bacteria; Pseudomonadati; Pseudomonadota; Gammaproteobacteria; Enterobacterales; Enterobacteriaceae.
CGGAAGACCAAGGGUUCCUGUCCAACGUUAAUCGGGGCAGGGUGAGUCGACCCCUAAGGCGAGGCCGAAAGGCGUAGUCGAUGGGAAACCGGUUCCGAUUCCUGUACUUGGUGUUACUGCGAAGGGGGGACGGAGAAGGCUAUGUUAGCCCGGCGACGGCUGUCCCGGGUUAAGCAUGUAGGCUGAUGGUCCAGGCAAAUCCGGCUACUCCACACGCAGGCGCGAUGACGCGGCACUACGGUGCGGAAGUAACAAAUGCCCUGCUUCCAGGAAAAGCCUCUAAGCAUCAGGUAACAUUAAAUCG